CUGACUGACUGACUUGGACUGACGUUAAUCUGACAUUUGGACCAAGACUAACACUCCAAUUGACUUUACUGCACCAGAAAGGUGAACAAAAUUUGUGCUGCAAGACUGGCAAGAUGCCCACCAAUUAGACAACAAGCUAAUUUAAAUUCUUUCAAAGACAGGUAAAAUUUUUAUCUUUUAGGUAAGUAUUAAAGGCCUUUGCCACAUGAUCUUUGUGGGUAAAUCGUGUCCACUCAAUUUAUAAAGUUAAUUUGCAUCUAAACAUUUACAAUGCCUGACACAAUGGCAUUACAAUAAUCUAAUGUUUUUGUUUUGCGUUACUGAGUGCAAAGGCCUUUAUUUACACACUGACGCAUGCCAAGACUGCCGUCAUGGCAUGUGUCACUGUCUCUCUCGCUGUUCUGUCUGUCUCUCUCUCACUGUUCUGUCUCUCUCCCUCUCUCUGGUCUGUCUGUCCUGUGUGUCUUUCUGUCUGUCUGGUCUCAGUCUGUCUUGUGUGUCUGGUAUCCGUCUGUCUGUCCUGUGUGUCGGAUUUAGUCACUUUUUUAGUCUCAACUUAAAUGGAUGAUUUUAAAGUUGAUUAGUCUUGAGGCGUCUGAUUUCUGCAGGAAAUUAGGGUACCUUAUUUUGAAAUGGCUUUAAUUUAAACAUUUAAUUUUGGUCUUGAAUCUCAGUUAUAGUUGCAACUUGGACUGUUGACAAAUGUGGAAGCUGAUGAAUUAUGUAGUAAAUGCAUCAAAGUUUACUGUAGCUUGUCUAAAGUUCUCUCAUAGUGCUGUAAAAAUGUAGUAAUUGAUUAUGAUGAGCUAGACCAGGUCUUCCUUUAUUCUCAACUGGUAAUUGCUUCGAUAAGAUAACUGGUUCCUGAUUUGAUUAUGAAGCUAAACUUUUGAUUUAUAUGCAAGUGUAGUCACAUUAGAUUGUAGGUGUUAUUUAGCCCAUGGAUAAUGAUAUGAUAAACUUUAAAUCUGGCAUUUUUUGGCACUCUUUUGAUAUUCAUUUAAGUCAUAAACUUUACGCACUGCCAUCAGCCUUUGUAGUCGCUAACUGAAAUCAAAUGCAAUAUUAUUGCUGACUUGUCUCACUCUGCCAAGUUUAUUUCCCUCUAAAGGAGUUGAACCUUUUUGUGUUCAUAGUCUUUUUGCGCGUCAUGUUGGGAGGCCUCCCAGCAGGGGAUUUUUAUCUUCCCUUGCAAAACUAUGCGUUACUCGCCUUAGGGAUGCAGGGCUAUCCUGCAUAGUUUCUUUCAAAAAUCAGAUUGUAGGUUGCAGGAUUAGAGCGCGUUUCUUUUCUUUAGGAGGACACAAACCUGGCAGAGAGACAACUCGGAUUAUUUAAGUGAAAGUUGCGCCAAAUGAUCAAACUUUUUAUUUUUUGAUACUUGAAAUAAAACUUUUAUUCUGUGGGCUGAAUUGAGACAAAUCAGACAGCAUUUGGCUUAAUGUUAAAGACUGUUGUUCAAGUACCCUCUUGUAGCAGGAGUGAGCAGCUGCAGCUUUUUGAUUUAUUUUUCGUUAUUUGAUAUGUUUCUUGGAUUGACUUGGUGUCUGGAGCUUUGUGGUUAACAGUGAUCACACAGUGAUAACCGUAAACGUGUAAACACAAGUGGUCUUUUGCCUCUUAUUUGCGAAGCUGUCAGCUGGUUGAAAUGAUAGGACUUUAUGGCUUGCCCAAAGUGGGAUUUUUGAUAGAGCAUAGGGUUAACACCUCACCAUACACUAGCUAUUUCAGCGAACAAGCAUCUGUAGUCUGUUAUUACCCAUGACUUUCUUUCUAAUUUCACAAUUUAGGCAGCUUGUAGAGUCAUUAGGAAGAUGCUUAAUCCCAAUAUCUUGGUUGGUUGCAUGAGAAACUGCUAUCUCUUAGUUGUGUUGGUGAAGUUCCUCCUCUGAUUUUUGUAGACUUGCCCUAAAGUUUCUCUCCGCUUUAACUCUUGUUGAGCUAUGCAUUAAAUGAUUCCUCCAACUUGUCUCCAUAUCAAUUUUUUUCUCCCUGCAGCCUUCCACCACCCACUGCUGCUGUUGCAUCUGCUAAAGGUAGCCGUAUCCUGAUUCACUGCGUCUUCAUGUGUUGGGUAAGAAGUGUCAUUAGACUACUAACAAUGUAAACACCUUUUAAAUGCUUGAUCUAAUUUACCCAAAUGGUUCAUCACUUUAGGACAGAAAAUCAUUGAAGUUGCCAUUCUUGGGGUCAGUAACCUGACCUCUAAAUGUUUGGGAAACCAUGCAAAAGAUCGCAAGCUCUCUGCAUGACCCAACAGCAUCGAUGUUUGAGUUAUUUAAUUGCUCAAUUUUUAAAUCAGUCAAGAUUUUAUGAGCUGGGUCUUCUUCACACAACAGAGAACAAGGUAAAUUGAGUCGACUCGUGGUAAGGCAUUUCGUCUUUCCCCUUCUUCUCUGUGUGUGAGGAAAUCUGGCCACGGAUCCUGACUGAGUGGCAUACCAUGGCUGCGCAGUUCCCAAAAUCAGAUAAGGAUCCAUCUGAUUUUGUGACUCGGCCUGUCAUGAUAUGCAUGUAUCUUCCUCCGAAACAAAGGAUUCGAAUGUGCAGGUUUGUAGUGUAAAUCACAUCACAUCACUUGUAGGUGGUGAAGCAUUUGUUUAAAUUGGGGUCAAGCAUUUUCAGGUGUCUGCUUUGUCAAUACUCUGGUGCCAUGUCUUGCUAAACACACGAGAAGCUCUGAAUUGUGAAACUGCUGCCUCUUGCAGAUGUUACAACAGUAAUGGCUGUUGAAAGGCUGCAGGGAGAGAAAAUGAGAUCUGAGGACAGGAAAGUGGAAUAGAUUUCAUGCUUAGCAAAAUGAGGGUUUCAGCAGAGGACCUUUUUGUGGCGAGGCUACAGAAUCAGAAGGAACGUUUGUCUGGGCAACUGGGAGAUUUACAGUUUUUCAUGUGGCCAACCAAGACAUUGGGGCUAGCAUCCCAAAUGGCUGGCAAAGACUGCUUGUAACUGUCAGUGUAGGACAGGAAAGGCAGGUAUAGGUUAGGGUUGGCAUCCAUCGGUGAGCUCUGACUGGAUGUGAGGACCUGUCACACUUGACCAGAGAUGAAGGCUGCAGCACAUUCCUGGAUCAGAGGACUCCAUGUUGGACACCAUGACCUAGAGAAGUCCCGUCCUGGAUGGCUGCGGUGAUGACCUAGCCCAAGAUGAACUGACCCUUCUACGACGAGGAAUUCGCCCAAGAUGAACCGACCCUUCUGCGACGAGGAAUUCGCCCAAGAUGAACCAACCUUUUCCACCUUUUUUCCACGGGAUGUCUUCAGAUGCUGGACCUUGCCAAGCUGUACACAUGCCUCAAUGGCUGCUACGUCACUCUGCCCAACAGGACAUGGUUGAGAUUUUUUUUAAAUGGACUUUAACCCCCCCUGUCCCCACUGAUCCACCACCACACAUGACAAAACACUGUACAUGUGAUGCAUCACAACACUAAAAUACAGACAUUGCUACUUUCAGCCUUUUUUUAUUCUGUAAAAGAUCGCAAGCCCUCUGCAUGACCCAACAGCAUCGAUGUUUGAGUUAUUUAAUUGCUCAAUUUUUAAAUCAGUCAAGAUUUUAUGAGCUGGGUCUUCUUCACACAACAGAGAACAAGGUAAAUUGAGUCGACUCGUAACAUAGUAAGGCAUUUUGUCCUUCCCCUUCUUCUCUGUGUGUGAGGAAAUCUGGCCAUGGAUCCUGACUGGGUGGCAUACCAUGGCUGUGCAGUUUCCAAAAUCAGAUAAGGAUCCAUCUGAUUUUGUGACUCGGCCUGUCAUGAUAUGCAUGUAUCUUCCUCGGAAACAAAGUAUUGGAAUGGACAGGUUUGUAGUGUAAAUCACAUCCCUUGUAGAUGGUGAUGGUGUACUGACACUGCUACUUUCAGCCUGUAAUGUUAGACAUUGAAAACUUGUAUUUAUUGCCUUCUUUAUAUCAAGUAAAACUUUUUGUUCUUAAUUUUAUGGUUGACUUGUAUUUUUUCUGUAAUGAGUGUUGUUUUGACAAGUUAGUGCUUUGAACUUAAAGAUGUGGAAUUCUUUUAAAACGAAUAUCUGUUACUGUAGACCUGGCACAUGUUGACACUGCUCCAAGUGUUCAGUUGAUCUUAACCAGAAAACUCAAACCCUUUAAGGAUUUGUACAAGGUUUUAAAGGGAAUAUAAUAAAUUGGACUCUAAAGCAGGGAAUGCUACAGUGGAUGGUGAUGCUGCUACUUGCCCCCAUCUCACAACUUCCUUACUUCUAGCCACUACUACUAAAUAUGGCUCAUAAACACUAAUACAAAUAUGCCACUGAACAUUAGACUACUUUGCUUUAAAAUGCCUUCUUUUAACUACAGAUGUAUUUUUACUAUUUUAUUUCAUCUGGCUUUUCAUUUUAUCUUUAAAUUCUGUCUUCCAUUUUACACUUAAAGGUUUAAUUUUUCUACUAUGGAAAGCACUUUGUAGAGUUGUUUUGAAAAGUGCUAUUCAAAUAGUUAUUUGAACAGUGUUGCACUACCAUUAACACCAGCAGCAAUAUGAGCAGCCACACAUGCAAUGCUAAUAUUUCUGAUUGUCUCUGACUGUCUCAGCCUCAGGUAGGUGAACGCUCCACACAUUAGUCAGUCAGUCAUCAUCUACCGCUUUAUCCUCUGCCAGAGGGUCGUGGGGCUCCACACAUUAGUGUAGGAAAAUGUUCAACAGUUAAAUAAAACACCAAAGUGUGAGGCACAGAUGUACAAGAUGUUUCCCAAAGUAAAGAUCAGACUUGGAACAACCGAGUGAUAGACAAAGAAGUCAGUGGCUAAUUGCAAGCUGCAAACACUGGUGACCCAAGAUGGAGAGAGGGGCGAGGAGACGGUUCUUCCAGUCUCAGCAUCCAGUGCAUCAUGAAUUCGACAGGAGAAAGAGAUGACCGACAUUUUGGUUGUGUGCUUUUGUGGAAAAGGGGGCUGAUUUUUUUUUUUUAUUUUUUUUUUCUCUAAUCAAUUCGCCACUCAAUUUUUUUUUUUCAAUUUCUUGGACCAGAAAAUGUUGAAAAAUGUUGAUCAUUGUUUCUCAAACCUGGAAAUGAUGUUCUCAAAUGUCUUGUUUUGUCCACCAAAUAAAUUGGUUUUGAUGAUUUGUGUUAUAUGGAACAAAGAAACGUGUGCCCACGUUGCCAUGCGCGCC
This is a long non-coding RNA of Solea solea (common sole), 5125 nucleotides long. RefSeq lists it as uncharacterized. The transcript has 3 exons. Lineage: Eukaryota; Metazoa; Chordata; Actinopteri; Pleuronectiformes; Soleidae. The record is from RefSeq and is a predicted model, not a curated record.